Molecule: ribosomal RNA, 497 nt
Filed under: uncultured bacterium
Lineage: Bacteria
Description: partial 16S ribosomal RNA
Rfam family: Bacterial small subunit ribosomal RNA
Source: RNAcentral
GAUGAACGCUGGCGGCGUGCCUAAUACAUGCAAGUCGAGCGAACAGACGAGGAGCUUGCUCCUUUGACGUUAGCGGCGGACGGGUGAGUAACACGUGGGUAACCUACCUAUAAGACUGGGAUAACUUCGGGAAACCGGAGCUAAUACCGGAUAAUAUUUUGAACCGCAUGGUUCGAUAGUGAAAGAUGGCUUUGCUAUCACUUAUAGAUGGACCUGCGCCGCAUUAGCUAGUUGGUAAGGUAACGGCUUACCAAGGCAACGAUACGUAGCCGACCUGAGAGGGUGAUCGGCCACACUGGAACUGAGACACGGUCCAGACUCCUACGGGAGGCAGCAGUAGGGAAUCUUCCGCAAUGGGCGAAAGCUUGACGGAGCAACGCCGCGUGAGUGAUGAAGGUCUUCGGAUCGUAAAACUCUGUUAUUAGGGAAGAACAAACGUGUAAGUAACUGUGCACGUCUUGACGGUACCUAAUCAGAAAGCCACGGCUAACUACGUG